UUAGAACGGUCUCUUUUCUCAAGAGACAUUGCCAGAUGUGUACUAUUCCUCGCUUAAGAGAGCUCUUACCAGACCUGCGAUUCAGACUUGUCGACUUGCAUAAAGCUAGAAAAGUGGCCAUUUUGUAAAGAUGACUGCAUAAGCACAGCACAGCUUGUCAGAGCUUGUCUGAAGUCUGAGAGAAAUCAUGGCACAGCAGACAGGUGCUCUAACUCGGGUGUUCAGUUCUCCGGAAUAGACUCCAGAUCCAAUGAACCAUGACUACGAUAAGAAGUAAACGAUGAAUGAGACUCCCUUUUGAAGCAGAGCAUUUGAGCCUUCAGUGUGAAGUUGGAUCCAUGAUGCAGACAAUUUAGCAUUAUAUAUAAAUCACCAAUAAUGAAAUAUUCUAUCAGUCAGAAAAAAUAUUUCUAGAACUUUUGUGCCAAAACUAGACUACAAAAUUAAACGGACAACAUGCUAACAAAGCAAGCUUUUGGUUAUAUACACAGGGGUUGAGAAGUGAGUUGAAAAAAAACAAGUUUUGUAUGAGUUGACACAUGGCUGAGCAACAUGAGACAAUUGUGGUGAGUACAUCGUCAUUCUACUUGAAUGCACACGCCCGCUCGGAAUAUCGCAACACUUCAACCCCAAGAGGCUGCCACUCUUAAAAUAGUGAUCCGGUGCAGAGACACUUUACAUGACUGGACUUUCAACAGCUAAAUCUCACAACACCCUCUACUAAUCAAAUUAAACAUUGCUGCACCCAUUUUUUCCAUUUACAAAGUUUAUUCACACA
Syngnathoides biaculeatus (alligator pipefish) is the source of this 778-nucleotide long non-coding RNA. RefSeq lists it as uncharacterized. The record is from RefSeq and is a predicted model, not a curated record. Lineage: Eukaryota; Metazoa; Chordata; Actinopteri; Syngnathiformes; Syngnathidae. The transcript has 4 exons.